This 1475-nucleotide long non-coding RNA is filed under the name Homo sapiens (human). RNAcentral's name for it is "HSALNT0119322". The record is from RNAcentral. Lineage: Eukaryota; Metazoa; Chordata; Mammalia; Primates; Hominidae.
CCUCCUGUGCCAUGUCCCACCCAUGCAGAGACCCACUGGAAAUCAGACUGUCCAGCUUGCCUAGCAGCCACUCCUAGAGCCCCUAAAGCUCCAGCCCAAGGUUCUCUAACUGACUCCUUCCCACAUCUUCUCAGCUUAGCGGCUGAUGACUGACCCUGCCUGAUCUCCUUGGAAGCCUCCUGGACCAUAACAGAUGCUUUGGGUAAAUCUUAACAGUGGAGGGAAAUGAAUAACAUGAAGUGAAGUCUUCAUCUCCAUUCCCAACAGUCCCCAUUCUACUUGCAGAAAGGUUGCUUACACUGAAAAUCAGUUUAUUUUCCCCUGGUGCAAAGAACAGUCGUUUCUCCAAAACUGAAGCUGGAAAUUAUCUGAAAUAUCAGGUCCUCCGGAAAAGGGACGUGAAGCCCCCUUUGUAAUUUCUGCAUUAGCGUGCUCUCCUGGCAAGCAGGAAACCUCAUCAGAGAAGUCAGCCAAGGAAAGUCUUUAAAUGGAAAUUGUGCAAACGAGGAGCAAAUGCAUUAAAAAGUUGCUGACGGGCAUGAAAUGCUUUGAUGUGAAGACGGAAAACUCCAAGCAGGAAGGAUUUUAACAUUUUGAAUCUGAUUGACUCUGUGGUUUCUCAGCACAGUUAUUCCAUGGGCUAAAAUAAAUGCAGAAAUGGUACUUUCAGACCACAGCUGCAGAGGGGAUCGUGGUGAAUUUCAAUGAAAAUCCAUUUGAAUCUUGAGGUUCAGAUCUUAAAAAAGCAAAGGACAUGAGAGAAGUAAUAUUGUUGCUUGAAAUUUCAUUGCUUAUAUCUAAAAGAAACUCCUAUUUUUAAGAGAAAUGUUGAAUCUUUGCAACGUGGUAGACGCUCCCACAAAACUUUCUCCUGAAAUAGGAGAUAAAUGUUGGAAAGAGGCAAUGUAUUGAGUAUGCUGAUAGAGGUGGAGUUCAGAGACAGGCAAGCAUACAUAAGAGUCAGGAUGUUUUUCAGUAUUAUCUUUACAAAUGAGUUUCUUACAGUGGUCAAUGACAAACCAAUUUCAUUCAAAGCUUGCUUCAAUAGGCAAUGGUUUGAUGCCAAUAUGUUAGCUAUUUACUUUGACCACCGUAUGCAUUAAAAAGAAGAAAAAUUAAGAAUACUCAAGCAGAACCUCCAACUUAGAUAGCACUUUCCACAAAAAGUAAUGGAGGGAUAGACUGAAGUUAAAUGGGAUCAGGUAUGUGAUGAGAUCUCAGAAGUGUUUGCACAAUAAUGCAGAUACUCAUUUUAAACAGAGUCAUAAGGAUUGGAACUAAUAAAAAUAAUAGAAUAAAAUACCGAUCAAGAAUGUGUCCUCCUGCGUAUCUGGGUUUUGAAUUCUGGCUCCACAGAACUUGUCAGAUAUAUGACAUUAAACAAGAUACUUCAACAUUCUGUGCCUUCAUUUUCUUAGCUGUAAAUAGAGAUUUUACUAGAACUCUAUAAGAUUAUCAUGAGAAUUACAUUAAUA